GAUGAACGCUGGCGGCGUGCCUAACACAUGCAAGUCGAACGGAGAUUACGGACGGAAGUUUUCGGAUGGAAGCCUGUAAUUCUUAGUGGCGGACGGGUGAGUAACGCGUGGGCAACCUGCCCUAUACAGGGGGAUAGCAGCUGGAAACGGCUGGUAAGACCGCAUAAGUCGGCGAGACCGCAUGGUUUUGCCGGGAAAUGAGCAUUCAGGUAUAGGAUGGGCCCGCGUCCGAUUAGCCAGUUGGCAGGGUAAAAGCCUACCAAAGCAACGAUCGGUAGCCGGACUGAGAGGUCGGACGGCCACAUUGGGACUGAGACACGGCCCAAACUCCUACGGGAGGCAGCAGUGGGGGAUAUUGCACAAUGGAGGAAACUCUGAUGCAGCGACGCCGCGUGAGUGAAGAAGUAUUUCGGUAUGUAAAGCUCUAUCAGCAGGGAAGAUGAUGACGGUACCUGACUAAGAAGCCCCGGCUAACUACGUG
RNAcentral lists this ribosomal RNA (481 nucleotides) under uncultured bacterium. RNAcentral describes it as "partial 16S ribosomal RNA". It matches the Rfam family "Bacterial small subunit ribosomal RNA", at positions 28 to 507 of the family's 1533-position model. The record is from RNAcentral.